RNAcentral lists this ribosomal RNA (372 nucleotides) under uncultured bacterium. RNAcentral's name for it is "bacterial SSU rRNA". It matches the Rfam family "Bacterial small subunit ribosomal RNA", at positions 524 to 898 of the family's 1533-position model. The record is from RNAcentral.
UACGGAGGGUGCAAGCGUUAAUCGGAAUAACUGGGCGUAAAGGGCAUGCAGGCGGUUCAUCAAGUAGGAUGUGAAAUCCCCGGGCUCAACCUGGGAACAGCAUACUAAACUGGUGGACUAGAGUAUUGCAGGGGGAGACGGAAUUCCAGGUGUAGCGGUGGAAUGCGUAGAUAUCUGGAAGAACACCAAAGGCGAAGGCAGUCUCCUGGGCAAAUACUGACGCUCAUAUGCGAAAGCGUGGGUAGCAAACAGGAUUAGAUACCCUGGUAGUCCACGCCGUAAGCGAUGUCAAUUAGGAGCUUGGGCAAUAGUCUGGGUUCCGCAGCUAACGCAAUAAAUUGACCGCCUGGGGAGUACGGCCGCAAGGUUAAA